CUGGGCAGGAGCUCUGGGAGGUACGUGCAGAUCCAAACGAGAUUGGUUUCAGGAGCUGACUCUGUCUUUCAACAGCAGCAAAGCACGUGUUACAUCCCUUCUGGCAAAAGUUACUGCACAAUUCUAAACCAUAAUGAGGAAAACAACUCCCUCCCGUGAUUGCAACCUGUUUGUAGUGGAAAUGCUGUCAGCGUUUGCGAGAGAGAGAAUGCUGAUAUCUGACUUCACCUGGUGAAAAAGAAAUUUGCUUCGGUGCAUUGUGGCCCCCCAGAAAUGACUUAGAAAAAGUCCUCCCUCCUCACCACCUGUUUAUCAGCAUUUUUGAAGUACAGUCAUUCUGGCAGGAAUUCAGAUCUAGAAUGUAGGAACACAUUAACACCUUUUCCAGAGCCCUUUUAUCAGAGACAUUGUGUUCUCAAAUAGGUCAUAGAGACAACAGAAAAGGCAAGAAGUAACAAGAGAAUUCUGUGUAGCCAAAAGUAACUUACUGGCUGCUGCUGCUGGGGCUUGCUGCAAAAGUAAAAUCAUUUUGAUAAGAUGUUUCCUGUUUAAAUAGACAUUUGACUAUGUGUC
Molecule: long non-coding RNA, 573 nt
Organism: Pipra filicauda (Wire-tailed manakin)
Lineage: Eukaryota; Metazoa; Chordata; Aves; Passeriformes; Pipridae
Exons: 2
Source: RefSeq, a predicted model, not a curated record